RNAcentral lists this ribosomal RNA (478 nucleotides) under uncultured bacterium. RNAcentral's name for it is "partial 16S ribosomal RNA". It matches the Rfam family "Bacterial small subunit ribosomal RNA", at positions 28 to 507 of the family's 1533-position model. The record is from RNAcentral.
GAUGAACGCUGGCGGCGUGCUUAACACAUGCAAGUCGAACGGGAAUUAUUUUAUUGACACUUCGGUCGAUUUAAUUUAAUUCUAGUGGCGGACGGGUGAGUAACGCGUGGGUAACCUGCCUUAUACAGGGGGAUAACAGUCAGAAAUGGCUGCUAAUACCGCAUAAGCGCACAGAGCUGCAUGGCUCAGUGUGAAAAACUCCGGUGGUAUAAGAUGGACCCGCGUUGGAUUAGCUUGUUGGCAGGGUAACGGCCUACCAAGGCGACGAUCCAUAGCCGGCCUGAGAGGGUGAACGGCCACAUUGGGACUGAGACACGGCCCAGACUCCUACGGGAGGCAGCAGUGGGGAAUAUUGCACAAUGGGGGAAACCCUGAUGCAGCGACGCCGCGUGAAGGAAGAAGUAUCUCGGUAUGUAAACUUCUAUCAGCAGGGAAGAUAGUGACGGUACCUGACGAAGAAGCCCCGGCUAACUACGUG